ACGGGUGAGUAAUAUAUCGGAACGUACCCAAGAGUGGGGGAUAACGUAGCGAAAGUUACGCUAAUACCGCAUACGAUCUAAGGAUGAAAGCAGGGGACCGCAAGGCCUUGUGCUCCUGGAGCGGCCGAUAUCUGAUUAGCUAGUUGGUGAGGUAAAGGCUCACCAAGGCAACGAUCAGUAGCUGGUCUGAGAGGACGACCAGCCACACUGGAACUGAGACACGGUCCAGACUCCUACGGGAGGCAGCAGUGGGGAAUUUUGGACAAUGGGGGCAACCCUGAUCCAGCAAUGCCGCGUGAGUGAAGAAGGCCUUCGGGUUGUAAAGCUCUUUUGUCAGGGAAGAAAAGGCUGUGGCUAAUAUCCAUAGCUGCUGACGGUACCUGAAGAAUAAGCACCGGCUAACUACGUGCCAGCAGCCGCGGUAAUACGUAGGGUGCAAGCGUUAAUCGGAAUUACUGGGCGUAAAGCGUGCGCAGGCGGUUUCGUAAGUCUGUCGUGAAAUCCCCGGGCUUAACCUGGGAAUGGCGAUGGAGACUGCGAGGCUAGAGUUUGGCAGAGGGGGGUAGAAUUCCACGUGUAGCAGUGA
This 586-nucleotide ribosomal RNA is filed under the name uncultured bacterium. RNAcentral's name for it is "bacterial SSU rRNA". It matches the Rfam family "Bacterial small subunit ribosomal RNA", at positions 102 to 684 of the family's 1533-position model. The record is from RNAcentral.